RNAcentral lists this long non-coding RNA (375 nucleotides) under Mytilus galloprovincialis (Mediterranean mussel). Lineage: Eukaryota; Metazoa; Mollusca; Bivalvia; Mytilida; Mytilidae. The record is from RNAcentral.
AAUAUUAUUAUAGAUAGAGAUAAACUGUAAACAGCAAUAAUGUUCAGCAAAGUUUGAUUUACAAAUAAGUCAACAUGACCAAAAUAGUCAAUUGACUCCUUAAGGAGUUAUUGCCGUUUAUAGUUAAUUUUUAGCAUUUUCAUAAAUUUUUGUAAAUUUUUAGAAAAUAUUUUCCACUGUAAUUACUGGGCCAAGUUCAUUAUAGAUAAAGAUAAUUGUAGCAACAAGAAUGUUCAGUAAAGUAAGAUCUACAAACACAUCACCAUCACCAAAACACAAUUAUAUCAUGAAUUUAUCUGUGUCCAUUGUUUAAUAUGCACAUAGACCAAGGUGAGCGACACAGGCUCUUGAGAGCCUCUAGUUUUUUUUUAUACA